UGGGGAAUAUUGCACAAUGGAGGGAACUCUGAUGCAGCGACGCCGCGUGAACGAAGAAGGCUUUCGAGUCGUAAAGUUCUUUUAUAUGGGAAGAUAAUGACGGUACCAUAAGAAAAAGCCCUGGCCAACUACGUGCCAGCAGCCGCGGUAAUACGUAGGGGGCUAGCGUUGUCCGGAAUCACUGGGCGUAAAGGGUUCGCAGGCGGAAAUGCAAGUCAGGUGUAAAAGGCAGUAGCUUAACUACUGUAAGCAUUUGAAACUGCAUAUCUUGAGAAGAGUAGAGGUAAGUGGAAUUUUUAGUGUAGCGGUGAAAUGCGUAGAUAUUAAAAAGAAUACCGGUGGCGAAGGCGACUUACUGGGCUCAUUCUGACGCUGAGGAACGAAAGCGUGGGUAGCAAACAGG
RNAcentral lists this ribosomal RNA (403 nucleotides) under Verrucomicrobiota bacterium. RNAcentral describes it as "Verrucomicrobia bacterium partial 16S ribosomal RNA". It matches the Rfam family "Bacterial small subunit ribosomal RNA", at positions 355 to 776 of the family's 1533-position model. Lineage: Bacteria; Pseudomonadati; Verrucomicrobiota. The record is from RNAcentral.